GACGAACGCUGGCGGCGUGCUUAACACAUGCAAGUCGAACGGAAAGGCCCUGCUUUUGUGGGUGCUCGAGUGGCGAACGGGUGAGUAACACGUGAGUAACCUGCCCUUGACUUUGGGAUAACUUCAGGAAACUGGGGCUAAUACCGGAUAGGAGCUCCUGCUGCAUGGUGGGGGUUGGAAAGUUUCGGCGGUUGGGGAUGGACUCGCGGCUUAUCAGCUUGUUGGUGGGGUAGUGGCUUACCAAGGCUUUGACGGGUAGCCGGCCUGAGAGGGUGACCGGCCACAUUGGGACUGAGAGACGGCCCAGACUCCUACGGGAGGCAGCAGUGGGGAAUAUUGCACAAUGGGCGGAAGCCUGAUGCAGCAACGCCGCGUGCGGGAUGACGGCCUUCGGGUUGUAAACCGCUUUCGCCUGUGACGAAGCGUGAGUGACGGUAAUGGGUAAAGAAGCACCGGCUAACUACGUG
This 467-nucleotide ribosomal RNA is filed under the name uncultured bacterium. Its description in RNAcentral is "partial 16S ribosomal RNA". It matches the Rfam family "Bacterial small subunit ribosomal RNA", at positions 28 to 507 of the family's 1533-position model. The record is from RNAcentral.